CUGAAACCCAGAGACCCCCCAGAAGCCCUUGGUUCAGCUACAAGGACGAUCGCGGUGAGCAUUUUCUCUGCUGCACUACUCUCACCCUUCUUCUGUUUCUUCCAUUCUGUAAUAUGGUGUUUGUUUGGUUCUGGGGUUGUACUAGUUCUUUAAAGAUCUGAGUGUUCUGAAGCUUUGUUGUUCUUGAUCGAAUGUUGGGUUUUAUGGGUUGCUUUUUUGUUCUUGAUCGAAUGUUGGGUUUUAUGGGUUGCUGUUGAUAUUGCUGUUGACACUCAAGAAAAUUGUUGGAAGUGAGGUUGACAUUUCCCAGUGAUGUAGUGCCGGUAGAGAAGUAUACAGUACAUAAUACAUGAUUGUGUUUAGCAUAAUCAUUUUACAUCCUAAUUCUCAUAGCUCAGCUGUCUUCAUUUUUUUUCUUUCCUCAAGUUUGCUAGAAACGAAUUAGCAAUGGUGUUUUCCGUGAUUGGAUUAGACUGAAGCACUGCAUUAUGCAAUCUUCUAAUAUGUAUAAGCUAAUAUUAUUUCUCGAACAGUAGGGUUUGAAACCCUGUAUAGUGUAUACCAUUUACAGUCAUUGACAGUAUGAUUUACUAGCCACCAUCAAAGUGUUCGUCAUAAGUCAUCUGGAUGCAUAAUAAUGAAUCUAGAUAUGUGCAGAAAAUGCUGUUGAUAUUGCUGUUGAUAGUAUGUAUAUUUUCUGUUUGCUAUUUUGGUUUGUUUUUCUACUGGGAGUUGCCUGAUCACAUAAUUUAGUGCUCCAAAAACACUUCUUUCAUUGUCUAUCAUCAGUUUUUAGUGUUGCUGUAACCCCAUCAUAAUCUUUUGGACUGGUUUUGAAACAAUAAUUUUUCGUCCCUGAGAUUUUCAGAUGCCAUUUUUAAUCUCGUGAUGUGCUCACAAUUCCCAUUUCUACCAUUGCAUCUGAAUCGGCCUUUAGCAUUGGCGGGAGAGUUUUAGAUCAAUACCGCAGCUCACUGUUGCCUGACACAGUU
RNAcentral lists this long non-coding RNA (992 nucleotides) under Rosa chinensis. Its description in RNAcentral is "sRNA RchiOBHm_Chr4g0401851". The record is from RNAcentral. Lineage: Eukaryota; Viridiplantae; Streptophyta; Magnoliopsida; Rosales; Rosaceae.